AUUGAACGCUGGCGGCAGGCCUAACACAUGCAAGUCGAGCGGAUGAAGGGAGCUUGCUCCUGGAUUCAGCGGCGGACGGGUGAGUAAUGCCUAGGAAUCUGCCUGGUAGUGGGGGAUAACGUCCGGAAACGGGCGCUAAUACCGCAUACGUCCUGAGGGAGAAAGUGGGGGAUCUUCGGACCUCACGCUAUCAGAUGAACCUAGGUCGGAUUAGCUAGUUGGUGGGGUAAAGGCCUACCAAGGCGACGAUCCGUAACUGGUCUGAGAGGAUGAUCAGUCACACUGGAACGGAGACACGGUCCAGAUUCCUACGGGAGGCAGCAGGGGGGAAUAUUGGACAAAGGGCGAAAGCCUGAUCCAGCCAUGCCGCGUGUGUGAAGAAGGUCUUCGGAUUGUAAAGCUUUUUAAGUUGGGAGAAAGGGCAGUAAGUUAAUACCUUGCUGUUUUGACGUUACCAACAGAAUAAGCACCGGCUAACUUCGUG
Molecule: ribosomal RNA, 484 nt
Filed under: uncultured bacterium
Lineage: Bacteria
Description: partial 16S ribosomal RNA
Rfam family: Bacterial small subunit ribosomal RNA
Source: RNAcentral